UCAGACCUUGCCUAUGAGUGGGUUAAUUAAAACCAAUGACUCCUCCCUUGGGUUUAGCAGAAGGUAGGCGGGCUACCUCAGCCUUUAAAUACCCACGCGGCGACGCCGGUCAGAACCACGGACAGCUCCCGCCUUGUGGCCCUUGUACCCUUCCUGCGCUGUGGCGUCUGCAGUUCCACUCGGAGGACAUGGAGUGUGGCUGCAGAUCGGAUCGGCCCUCUCUUGCUCUGCGUCCUCUCCACCCACACUUGGUGGGUGUCUUCUAGGCUGCUAGAAUCCAGCCUUGAGCUAAACACCCAGGAGGAAUCAGAACCCGAGAGAUGAGAAAGGGGCGCCCGAUGGAGAUCGAGGUUGGCCCCUCUCUGGGAACUCAGUUGCCGUGCCGAGAGGCAAUGCUCAGACAGAGGGGAGGAGACGGCCGCGGAGGCCCCGGAGACGGCAGGGUGGAGGCCUGAUUUGAAGGUAUCCCACGUCCUUCAGUUUCCUGAUUUCCACAGAAAAAUACAAGAUCUUGACAACUGCUGUUACCUGAUUUCUUUAGUAUCUGGUUUCAUCUGGAAUCCGAAUUCUCAUACUCUACAUCCAACCUGGGGUGAUACGUGUUCUGGUUCAAGCAUAUGAAGUAAAUCCAGGCUCAUAUAGUUACAUAGCUGAGAAGAGGAAAAUAUUUUAAUAGUCUUUUCAGAUAAUUGUGGAUCAUCUUCUUUGAUGCUAAAAUAAAAUCCAAGUGGCUAGGCUGCUGUCAUGAACUAUUAGAUCAUAGUCUCAUGUUUGCAGAUAAGGAAUUUACCCAGUGCUCACAGGAUCAAGGCCAAAGUUCUUCAACUGUUAUUCAAGAUCUACCCUUCCUUUCCAGCCUCAGAUUUUAAAUGACACCUCUGCUUUCUUGUCUUUUUUUCAGAAACAAAUCACAUGAAAAGCCAACCCACAGUGUCCCCCAUCUUCUUAAGUUCUCCCUGACCCCUCUAAUGUUGAUGGGCAUUGGUGUGUCUUUGGCUCUACCCACUUACUGUAGAAGUACCAUUAGGUUUCUUUCCCAUGUAAAUGUUUAGCUCCACAAAUAUACUAAUCUACUGGUAUAAUCCAUGAAAAUGAAUAGAACAUUAUGGAAAUGGUAAUAAAGAGAACAUAGUAGAAAUUUGUUAACUAA
This is a non-coding RNA of Callithrix jacchus (white-tufted-ear marmoset), 1150 nucleotides long. The record is from RefSeq and is a predicted model, not a curated record. Lineage: Eukaryota; Metazoa; Chordata; Mammalia; Primates; Cebidae.